UCUCCGUUGGUGAACCGGCGGAGGGACCAUUACAGGACUCGCAAGACUCCUUCACCCUGUGAACCUCACUACAAGCACGUUGCUUCGGCGGGUGUCCCGGCGGGGGUUUUCCCUCGCCGGGGCGCACAGCCCGCCGGCAGCCUACUAUACUCUGUCUCUUUGCGUUGGCAUCUCGAGAAAAGACAAACAAGUUAAAACUUUCAACAACGGAUCUCUUGGUUCUG
Molecule: unclassified non-coding RNA, 224 nt
Filed under: plant metagenome
Description: partial contains small subunit ribosomal RNA, internal transcribed spacer 1, and 5.8S ribosomal RNA
Source: RNAcentral